This 497-nucleotide ribosomal RNA is filed under the name uncultured bacterium. RNAcentral describes it as "partial 16S ribosomal RNA". It matches the Rfam family "Bacterial small subunit ribosomal RNA", at positions 28 to 507 of the family's 1533-position model. The record is from RNAcentral.
GAUGAACGCUGGCGGCGUGCCUAAUACAUGCAAGUCGAGCGAACGGACGCGAAGCUUGCUUCUCUGAUGUUAGCGGCGGACGGGUGAGUAACACGUGGAUAACCUACCUAUAAGACUGGGAUAACUUCGGGAAACCGGAUCUCAUACCGGAUAAUAUUUUGAACCGCAUGGUUCAAAAGUGAAAGACUGUCUUUCUGUCACUUAUUGAUGUAUCCGCGCUGCAUUAGCUAGUUGGUAAGGUAACGGCUUACCAAGGCAACGAUGCAUAGCCGACCUGAGAGGGUGAUCGGCCACACUGGAACUGAGACACGGUCCAGACUCCUACGGGAGGCAGCAGUAGGGAAUCUUCCGCAAUGGGCGAAAGCCUGACGGAGCAACGCCGCGUGAGUGAUGAAGGUCUUCGGAUCGUAAAACUCUGUUAUUAGGGAAGAACAUUUGUGUAAGUAACUGUGCACGUCUUGACGGUACCUAAUCAGAAAGCCACGGCUAACUACGUG